Molecule: ribosomal RNA, 758 nt
Filed under: uncultured bacterium
Lineage: Bacteria
Description: bacterial SSU rRNA
Rfam family: Bacterial small subunit ribosomal RNA
Source: RNAcentral
CUUAGAGUUUGAUCCUGGCUCAGGAUGAUCGCUGGCGGUAUGCUUAACACAUGCAAGUCGAACGGUGUCUUCGGACAUAGUGGCGGACGGGUGAGUAACGCGUGAGAAUCUAGCUUCAGGUCUGGGACAACCACUGGAAACGGUGGCUAAUACCGGAUGUGCCGGAAGGUGAAAGGCUUGCUGCCUGAAGAUGAGCUCGCGUCCGAUUAGCUAGUAGGUGGGGUAAGAGCCUACCUAGGCGACGAUCGGUAGCUGGUCUGAGAGGAUGACCAGCCACACUGGGACUGAGACACGGCCCAGACUCCUACGGGAGGCAGCAGUGGGGAAUUUUCCGCAAUGGGCGAAAGCCUGACGGAGCAAUACCGCGUGAGGGAGGAAGGCUCUUGGGUUGUAAACCUCUUUUCUCAGGGAAGAACACAAUGACGGUACCUGAGGAAUCAGCAUCGGCUAACUCCGUGCCAGCAGCCGCGGUAAUACGGAGGAUGCAAGCGUUAUCCGGAAUGAUUGGGCGUAAAGCGUCCGCAGGUGGCUGUGUAAGUCUGCUGUCAAAGAGCAAAGCUCAACUUUGUAAAGGCAGUGGAAACUACACGGCUAGAGUGCGUUCGGGGCAGAGGGAAUUCCUGGUGUAGCGGUGAAAUGCGUAGAGAUCAGGAAGAACACCGGUGGCGAAGGCGCUCUGCUAGGCCGCAACUGACACUGAGGGACGAAAGCUAGGGGAGCGAAUGGGAUUAGAUACCCCAGUAGUCCUAGCUGUAAAC